GUCUGUGUAACUCAGUGGUAGAGUGUGAGAUUGCAACGUCGGUGUAAAUAAACACAAAUAAACAAUCUUGAAGCCGCGUGUUCGAACCACGCCACGGACU
RNAcentral lists this transfer RNA (100 nucleotides) under Lentinula raphanica. It matches the Rfam family "tRNA". From Rfam's summary of the family: Transfer RNA (tRNA) molecules are approximately 80 nucleotides in length. Their secondary structure includes four short double-helical elements and three loops (D, anti-codon, and T loops). The record is from Rfam by way of RNAcentral. Lineage: Eukaryota; Fungi; Basidiomycota; Agaricomycetes; Agaricales; Omphalotaceae.